UGGCGAACGGGUGAGUAACACGUGAGUAACCUGCCCUUGACUUUGGGAUAACUUCAGGAAACUGGGGCUAAUACCGGAUAGGAGCUCCUGCUGCAUGGUGGGGGUUGGAAAGUUUCGGCGGUUGGGGAUGGACUCGCGGCUUAUCAGCUUGUUGGUGGGGUAGUGGCUUACCAAGGCUUUGACGGGUAGCCGUUUGACGGGUAGCCGGCCUGAGAGGGUGACCGGCCACAUUGGGACUGAGAUACGGCCCAG
RNAcentral lists this ribosomal RNA (252 nucleotides) under uncultured Actinomycetales bacterium. RNAcentral describes it as "partial 16S ribosomal RNA". It matches the Rfam family "Bacterial small subunit ribosomal RNA", at positions 96 to 334 of the family's 1533-position model. The record is from RNAcentral. Lineage: Bacteria; Bacillati; Actinomycetota; Actinomycetes; Actinomycetales.